UACAGAGGGGGCAAGCGUUGUUCGGAAUUACUGGGCGUAAAGGGCGCGUAGGCGGCCUGCUAAGUCGAACGUGAAAUCCCUGGGCUCAACCCAGGAACUGCGUCCGAUACUGGUUGGCUUGAAUCCGGGAGAGGGAUGUGGAAUUCCUGGUGUAGCGGUGAAAUGCGCAGAUAUCAGGAAGAACACCCGUGGCGAAAGCGGCUCUCUAGAACGGUACUGACGCUGAGACGCGAAAGCGUGGGGAGCGAACAGG
RNAcentral lists this ribosomal RNA (253 nucleotides) under uncultured bacterium. RNAcentral describes it as "partial 16S ribosomal RNA". It matches the Rfam family "Bacterial small subunit ribosomal RNA", at positions 524 to 776 of the family's 1533-position model. The record is from RNAcentral.